This 499-nucleotide ribosomal RNA is filed under the name Carabidae sp. BAH_28362_F03. RNAcentral describes it as "partial 16S ribosomal RNA". The stretch from base 360 to 499 matches the Rfam family "Bacterial large subunit ribosomal RNA", at positions 2473 to 2613 of the family's 2925-position model. The record is from RNAcentral. Lineage: Eukaryota; Metazoa; Arthropoda; Insecta; Coleoptera; Carabidae.
CAAUGAAUUUAUAAUUUAAAUGGCCGCAGUAAUUUGACUGUGCAAAGGUAGCAUAAUCAUUAGUUUUUUAAUUAAAAGCUUGUAUGAAAGGUUGGACGAGAUAAAAUCUGUCUCUAUUUAAUUUAUAGUAGAAUUUAAUUUUUAAGUUAAAAAGCUUAAAUAUUAAUAAAAGACGAGAAGACCCUAUAGAUCUUUAUAAUUUUUGUAAUAUAAUAAAUAUAGAUUAAUUAUAGUUUUAUUAUUAAAAUUAUUGUAUUGGGGUAAUAUAAAGAUUAAAAAAAUUCUUUUUUAUUAUUAACAUUAAUGUAUGGUUUAUUAAUGAUCCUUAUUUAAAGAUUAAAAGAUUAAGUUACCUUAGGGAUAACAGCGUAAUUUUUUUAGAGAGUUCUUAUCGAUAAAAAAGUUUGCGACCUCGAUGUUGGAUUAAAGAUUAUUUUAGGUGCAGAAGUUUAAAAUUUUGGUCUGUUCGACCAUUAAAUCUUUACGUGAUCUGAGUUCA